Molecule: non-coding RNA, 159 nt
Organism: Pelobates cultripes (western spadefoot toad)
Lineage: Eukaryota; Metazoa; Chordata; Amphibia; Anura; Pelobatidae
Source: the annotation of a GenBank genome assembly
GCUGACACAUCCCGGCCAAUCUCCAGCAGAUCCUCCCUCCCAGACCCUCCUACUUCCUGGACAGCAUCCAUGUUGAAGCUGCCUUCAACAUGGAUGCUGUCCAGGAGGUGGGAGGGUCUGGGAGGGAGGGUCUGCCGGAGAUUGGCAGGGAUGUGUCAG